RNAcentral lists this ribosomal RNA (147 nucleotides) under uncultured Bacteroidota bacterium. Its description in RNAcentral is "uncultured Bacteroidetes bacterium partial 16S ribosomal RNA". The record is from RNAcentral. Lineage: Bacteria; Pseudomonadati; Bacteroidota.
GUACCGUCAUCACCUUACACGUAAGGCUUAUUCUUCCUGUAUAAAAGCAGUUUACAACCCAUAGGGCAGUCUUCCUGCACGCGGCAUGGCUGGAUCAGGCUCUCGCCCAUUGUCCAAUAUUCCUCACUGCUGCCUCCCGUAGGAGUA